This 253-nucleotide ribosomal RNA is filed under the name uncultured bacterium. RNAcentral describes it as "partial 16S ribosomal RNA". It matches the Rfam family "Bacterial small subunit ribosomal RNA", at positions 524 to 776 of the family's 1533-position model. The record is from RNAcentral.
GACGAAGGGGGCUAGCGUUGUUCGGAAUUACUGGGCGUAAAGGGCUCGUAGGCGGCCAACUAAGUCGGAUGUGAAAUCCCCAGGCUUAACCUGGGAACUGCAUCCGAUACUGGAUGGCUUGAAUCCGGGAGAGGGAUGCAGAAUUCCAGGUGUAGCGGUGAAAUGCGUAGAUAUCUGGAGGAAUACCGGUGGCGAAGGCGGCAUCCUGGACCGACACUGACGCUGAGGAGCGAAAGCCAGGGGAGCAAACGGG